AUUGAACGCUGGCGGCAUGCCUUACACAUGCAAGUCGAACGGUAACGGGCCUUCGGGUGCCGACGAGUGGCGUACGGGUGAGUAAUACAUCGGAACGUGCCCGAUCGUGGGGGAUAACGAGGCGAAAGCUUUGCUAAUACCGCAGACGAUCUACGGAUGGAAGCAGGGGACCGCAAGGCCUUGCUCGGACGGAGCGGCCGAUGGCAGAUUAGGUAGUUGGUGGGAUAAAAGCUUACCAAGCCGACGAUCUGUAGCUGGUCUGAGAGGAUGAUCAGCCACACUGGGACUGAGACACGGCCCAGACUCCUACGGGAGGCAGCAGUGGGGAAUUUUGGACAAUGGGCGCAAGCCUGAUCCAGCCAUGCCGCGUGCAGGAUGAAGGCCUUCGGGUUGUAAAAUGCUUUUGUACGGAACGAAAAGCCUUCUUUUAAUACAGGAGGGUCAUGACGGUACCGUAAGAAUAAGCACCGGCUAACUACGUG
RNAcentral lists this ribosomal RNA (482 nucleotides) under uncultured bacterium. RNAcentral's name for it is "partial 16S ribosomal RNA". It matches the Rfam family "Bacterial small subunit ribosomal RNA", at positions 30 to 507 of the family's 1533-position model. The record is from RNAcentral.